Molecule: ribosomal RNA, 774 nt
Filed under: uncultured Neocallimastigales
Lineage: Eukaryota; Fungi; Neocallimastigomycota; Neocallimastigomycetes; Neocallimastigales
Description: partial large subunit ribosomal RNA
Rfam family: Eukaryotic large subunit ribosomal RNA
Source: RNAcentral
UAUCUCUGUAGAGUCUGCAUAUCAAUAAGCGGAGGAAAAGAAACUAACAAGGAUUCCCUUAGUAACGGCGAGUGAAGCGGGAAGAGCUCAAAUUUGAAAUCUUCAAGGUUUUACCUUGACGAAUUGUAGUUUAAAGAAGUGUUUUCUGUUAGAUGAGUAGCAAAAGUUCCUUGGAAUGGGACAUCAUAGAGGGUGAGGAUCCCGUAUUUGACUAUUCAUUCUAGCUUUGUGAUACACUUUCAAAGAGUCGGAUUGUUUGGGAAUGCAGUCCAAAAUGGGUGGUAAAUUUCAUCUAAAGCUAAAUAUUGGCGAGAGACCGAUAGCGAACAAGUACCGUGAGGGAAAGAUGAAAAGAACUUUGAAAAGAGAGUUAAACAGUACGUGAAAUUGUCAAAAGGGAAGCGUUUGACACCAGUGUUGUUUUUCCGAAAAUCAAUUACGAAUGGCUUGAUUUUGUGUUGUAUUGACCUUAUCAGCUUUCUUCACUUUUUUCGAGUCUUUCUUAAUGCACUUUUUCGGUUAACAAGUCAACAUCAAUUUCUUUUGUUGUAAAAGAGUAUUCGGAAGGUGGCUUUCUUUUCGGAGAAAGUGUUUAUAGCCCUAUACUUCUACAAUCGGAGAGAUUGAGGUCUGCAGCGUAGAUCCUUCGGGGUUAGAUACACUUGUGCUAAGUUGUAGCUUUUCAUAGACAACUUGUUGACUAUGUUUAGUCAUGCGGCUUACUCGCUUGUGCUAUUUUACCUACGCUUAGGAUGUUGACUGAUAUGUAGUCGU